CCAGGCCGAGGGGCGGGGGCGUCCCCGGGCCCUGGCGCGGCGCCUGGAGCUCCUGCUGCUGGAAGCGCCAUGUGACCGUGACUCUGCACAAGCCGGGAACGCGGAGAAACAAAGGGCGGCUCAGCGGCCACCGGGCGCUCAGGCUGGCACGGAGGGCCCGGCCCCAACCCCAACCGGGGCCCCGCACUCUUGUCCCUACGGACCCUCGGUGCCCAGGGCGAGCAGGGAGGCGCCGGAUCCUGCUGAGGCCCGGGGCGGGGAGCGCGGCCUCCCAGGGAGCUGGGGAGGGAGGGCAGGCCUGAGGACGCUGAAAUGCAAGUGCGAGGCGGGGUGGGCGAUGUCGGGUCCGGGCUGGGCCGUGGAGUGUUGCAGGUUCCUUCCUCACGGCUGGCUCUGGCAAAUGACCCUCCCUGAACCUCUGUUUCUGUAAUAGAGGUGAAGAUAAUCGUCCCCACGCAAUUAUCCUAGGGUUAGGAGGCUUAAGGGAGGCGUCCCAUGUAGAGCGGUGAGGACAGCACAGGGUUGUCGGGCCGCAUUCUAGCUCCUCUCCCACAUAAACAUGCACAGGAUUUCGGGUCACUGAGCUGCCACUUUCCAGUCACAGCAGGGAUGUAGUUCCGGCCAGAGCACCAGGAAGAGGAGCAGGAUGGGGCAGCUGGCACAGGGCGGAGCCAGGGUGGGCACCGCUGCGUAUAUGGAGAGGGGAUUAGCACUGGGGCUCUAGCAGAAGCGGGGAGAUAGGAAAUCCCAAGACAGCCUGGUUAUCCGGCCCUGGCUCUCUCCCGGCCCUGGAUGGGAGUGGCUUGUCUCCUAGUCACUUUCCCCAGCCCAGGGGGAACAAAGGGGCUGGAGAGGGUGGGGGCCCACCUUGGAGUGGGCCUCAGGGUACAUUGAGACUCCUGCCUCCGCACCAGAUUUGCAGGUUUGACUUCUCCUGAGGAAGCCUCCACCCUAUGGCCACAAGGCCCUAGGGCCUGUAUUUACAGAGUUCUGAAUUUACCUGGCCCUAAAACCACGUGGCCUGUGCAUGCAUAAUAGAGGCCACAGCACAGAGCUCUUGAGGUAGUGGCCCAGUGGGGACUCUGGGCUUGGUCCCAGCUGGGGGACUGACGUUAAGGAUCUAGCCUCCGUUCCUUCCCUGCCUGGGGAAAAAGAGAAGAGGAGCAGUCCAGGCACUGGCGACAGCCUGUAAUAAGAGGCCCUGAGUGCCACCAAGAGCAUGGUUGGAGAGUGACUCAGCCUCGUUGGUGCCUCCUCAGCAUGCAGGUCUGUGUUCAGAUGUCCCCUUUUCCAGGAAGCCUGCUCUCUCCCCCAGCCCGGCCUCCUCAGUCACUUAGGACACCACCUAGCGAUUGCCUUUCCACCCUCAGGACAGGACCAACUGCUGCUACUGCCCACUAUUGUGUAUCCAGGACCUGGAAUACGGUAGGUGCCAAGUAUUUGUUGAAAGAGUCAUUGAAUAGGUUGAGUUCGCCCUGGAUUCCUCUAAAGCUGAUAACAGUCCUUGAUCAGGGCUUCCUUUGUAAGAGAACAGUCCAACCCAGUGCUGUCCAAUAGAACUUUCUGUGAUGAUAGGAACAUUCUUUUUUUUUUUCUUCUUUUUUUUUGAGGAAGAUUAGCCCUAGCUAAUCACCAACUGGGGGAUCAAGUGCUGGAGAAAUGCCAUUUGGUGAAGAAGCCCAUGGAUUGCCAAGAGUGGUUUGCCUGUCUCCAAUGGCCCGGAAGGACCUAUAGGGUGAAGUGUGAGAAUCGGUACUUCAAGAAUCCUCCUCAAAUACGAAGGAUGUGAGAGGAGCCAGCCGCUACCUGCCUACCGCAGUCUGCUCAGCGUGGAGUAAGUCCAGCCCCGGCCCCUGGAGGAGUUCCUGCCUGUGUCCCACUCUGAGUGACUGCGAUCCUGUGGCCCUUGUGGCUGCAGUGACGAUUUAUGGGGAUACUGAGGUCAUCUUCAAAGUGCUUUUGAUCUAAAUUCUCCCAGAUGUACCCUUUCUUUACCUUGCAAAUCUGGUUGAGGAGAGAGAGGGCGUUGGGAGCAGAAGGACUUCGGGACAGUGAUUUCCAAAUCUGGUCCUCAGAAUACCGAUGGACCAUGAUGAUGACGUCACCAGUCGGUGACAAAAAAGGAGAAAAGCACAAACUGUGGACUGAGCUUUUCCUGAAGCAAAAUUAUUUCAUUUAAAGGACCAUCCUUUAAAGGGAAAUCAAGUUCUUCCUCCUUUUUUGGUAUUAAACUAUACUUUCUUUCAGGUCACUUGAUUUUGCUGGGCCUCACCUAUAAAAUGGGGUGAGAGGGGCAGGGGAUUGGCCUAGAUAAUUUACAAGGGCUUUUCAACUCCAGUAUUCCAAGAUCCUUGGGGCUCUGGGGCCAGUAUCCCCGCCCGGGAUUGUGUCUCUCACACCCUCUACCUCCCCCGCAUAUACCCACCCGACCCUCCCUGCUCAGCCACAUAACGUUUGCGCUCUCCGCUGAGCUCGCCUAUGUGCUCCCUGGGGAGAGGCGCCCCCUCCACAGUGGACUCUGGAUUAAACGAUAAUCCAGGAGAUACAGUUUAGAAAAGGCAGGCGUGGGUUUCGAAUAGCAGAAUGUUUGUCCCCAGAUAAUGAGUGGAUCAAGCUCAGCCUCCCUGCGGGCCUGGAAGUUAGAAGGACAGAAAGUCAUAGACCGGGAGCAAAACCCAGAGAACAGAUAUCCAGGGGGGGCUGGGUCGGGGGAGAGCCUGGAAAGAGAUGGAAGUUCUGGCUGAAGAAGGAUAUCCUGGACUCCUACAACACCUGGGCUGGGGAGGCCCAGGCCAUCUGGUCCUGUCUUUUCAUGUCAUAGAUAAGGACAUGAAGGCUCAGGGAGGCAGAGGGGUCUGUGACUGGGGGAUGGGGUAUACAUUUUUUUUUUAAGAUUUUAUUUUUCUUUUUCUCCCCGAAGCCCCCCGGUACGUAGUUGUGUAUUUUUCGUAGUGAGUCCUUUCAAUUGUGGCAUGUGGGAUGCCGCUUCAGCAUGGCUUGACGAGUGGUGCCAUGUCCGCUCCCAGGAUUCAAACCGGCAAAACCCUGGGCCCCCCAAGCAGAGCGUUCGAAGUUAACCACUCGGCCACAGGGCCAGCCCCUGGGGUAUACAUCUUUUUCACUAGCACCCUGGAAAGGGUCUAGCCUGGAGGUGGAAAGGGAUUAAGGGAGAGAGACUUGGAAACUGAGUCCAGGAGAGGCCAGAGCACUAAGUGAGGGCUGCCCCAGGCCCCUCAUGAGCCUUGUAGCCCUGCUGCCCAGCCUGCUUGCUCUGCUCUGGCCCCUUCUCCGGUCGCCUUUCCUUUGCCCUCAGCUCAGCUCUCAGGACAUCAGAGACAGCCGGCCUGAUGGGAUUGGAGCAGGAAGCUGGCAAGAGAGCCAGAGAGGGAGGAGGGUUGGGGGGGUGCCCUGCUGAGCACCCCUCAACUCCACAUGCCCUUGUUGAGAAGCUCCAGGAAGAGGGGAGAGGAAGGGGAGCUGUCAUUGCACGAACACGUAGACCAGACUCCUCUCCCCCACGCACACACUUCUGCGCUCCAAGCGGAUCCAGGGACCGGGAGGUGCAGGCGGCUCUCACGGAUGCUCUUAAUCCUAAACACGGGGGCUGGGCCCUGUGGAGAACGGCAGGGUCAGGAGGCCCUCUGUGAACCUCCUGUCACCUUCAACGCUGAGUCAAAUCGUUAAUAAAUCAAGCAUGAGGUGAAAGGCCACAUCAGAAGUCUCCCUAAUACACUUGCUGCCCGCGCCUGUAGCUGCAGCUGUUGGUGGAAGGUCGUUUUUAUUUAUUUAUUUAUUUAUUUUUAAAGAUUUUAUUUUUUUCCUUUUUCUCCCCAAAGACCCCCGGUACAUAGUUGCAUAUUCUUCAUUGUGGGUCCUUCUAGUUGUGGCGUGUGGGAUGCUGCCUCAGCGUGGUUUGAUGAGCAGUGCCAUGUCCGUGCCCAGGAUUCGAACUAACGAAACACUGGGCCGCCUGCAGCGGAACGCGCGAACUUAACCACUCGGCCACGGGGCCAGCCCCAUGGAAGGUCAUUUUUAAAGCAACGAUGUCAGGGGCCAGAGAGGAACCCAGCCCAAAGUCCCCAAAUCUACCUGGUAGAUGCCACCAACUUCAGGAAGGCUUCCGGCAAGGAGACCUUGGGCAGGCUGGGUGAUGCCCCAGUGCCCUCGGCUGUGCCUGCCCUUGAUCACCAGGCUGUUCACUGCCUGGGAAGCUGGGAGCUGGGGCACCUGGAUGGUCUGGAAAUGGAGGGCCUGUGGAGCCCCAUGCUUGCCUGCUCCUCCCUGCCACCCUCUCCCUGAGAGCAAGAGGCAAGGCCAGGAGGCUCCUGGGAGCCUAAUUCCCAGGGCCUGGCAGCCAGCUCUGUAGCUGAUGCAAGGCCAGGGACGGGUGAGCUCAGUCUGUCUCCGGCACGUGGAGCUUCUUGCAUCCUAGAAAACAUACCCAUUCAUUCCUGUCUGCUUCAGCCCUCCUAGGUCUCUGGCUCCAUUCUUCUGGAAGCAGAGCAGGGCCGCGUAAGGCUCUGGGAGCAAGCCUUGCUUGGUGCUAGGGCAGCACUGAGCAUUUUGGAGUCAACCCCACUCCCCUGCACAGGCAGCCUUUGAACAGUACUGGGACUCGGAGCCCUGCCUCCAGGGGGCCUGUCCAGUGGAAAUGGAGAACCUGGGUACCCCUUGGCCCUCAGGCUCUAUCCAUGCCAGCCCACUUCUCCUUCAGGGAGAGGUCAGACAGCCCUGGCAAGUCUCUUAUCCCAUUAGAAGGAUGGACUUUCUUCCACCUGCCUCCACCUCUUAGUCUUGAUGCCCACGCCCCAGGUAGGAAUGCCAGGGCCCUACCACCCUCUCAAGGACCCUCGAGGCAUCAUCAGCUCAGGAUGAGGAUUCAUUCGGCAGCUAUUUACUAAGAGCUCGGUAAUAAUCACAUAACAUGUAAUAGCACAACGCGGAUAACGUGUGUGCCUCAAAAUGCUUUCAUGAUUAAUUAGUGCUUCAAGGGAUCCUAGUCACAGUGCUGUGACGUAGGGAGGCCCUCGAUGAAGAAGCUAAGGCCCAGAGAGUUUAAGUGGCAGAACCGGAAGUCCUGCCCGCAGGGUCUUCUUGCCGGCAAGCGCCUGAGUGGGAAGCAGGCUUCGAGAGGCAGGCUUGCUUGUCACUGGAGACCCAUUUAGACAGAGGAACUUUUCUCCUGGGGAAGGAGGAGCAGGUGGAGGAGGCUGGGAGAAGAGGACUUGUGGAUUUGGGGUAGAGGCAUGCUGGGGGCCAGGCCUGUCUGGGAAGGCCUGGAGAGGUUCUGGGGGCACUGAGAUCCGGAAGGGAGGGUACUCAGAGCACUGGAGUUGCAGCUCCUGCCCUUCAGCUGCUCACUCAGACAAAGGCUCAUUGGUCACGCCAACCUCAGGCUAGUUCCCGCUGGGUUGUGGCUGCUGCCUGGGGGCUGAGGCAGGCUUCAGGACUGGCCUCUCCAAUUCUGGCCCGGGACCAGUGGCAGUGGCCAUUACUGGCGUCCCUGUUGAUACCAGCAUUGAAUGAAGCCGUCUUUGUCACCUGCCCCAUCUACCUUGGGUCUACCCUUCCCCCUCGGCCGUGCUUGACCCUCUCUGGGUGGCUGUCUGCACAUCUUCAUGACCUUCGCCCACUCUCUCAGCAGUUCUUGUUGCUGACGCAACUUCUGAGGCUGGUGAGCUGAGGCUGCCCAGGCUCGCAGGCAGCUGGCUCCACUUCCUGCUUCCUCAUUCUGCUCAAGGUGUCACCAUGCUUACGGUCGAGGACACCGAUCUGGGCCCGGGAUCUCACCUGACUCUCUCCAGGCUCCCCAAGGACCAAAGCUCUAUUGUGGGAUCAAGGCCCCAUCUGCCUUCCUGGAGUUCCAACCAUGGCCUGCUGCCAAGUCCUGCUCCCCACCACCCUCCAUUGCCUUGUUCCCCCUGGAUUUCCACCACAGGUAACGGUGUGAAGUCAGGGUGAACUUAAUUGGGGUGAAGGAUGACUGCUGCAUUAAAUUGGAUGGAACUGGUCUGUUCAACCACUGCCCAUUAAAAAUGGUGGCCUUUCUUUAACAUAGCCAUAAUGAGACCAUCCCUCCAGAGAAAAGUGCUAAUAGAAUCACCCGCCUUGAAUGCUUAACUCUUACUCAAUGCCUUGACCUGGACGUCUGAUAGACAUGGCCCACAUACUAUCUAAAAUCAAACCUUUUCUUCCCCCCAAACCUGCUCAUUCCACAGCGUUCCCUAGCUCAGUAAAAGACUACAUGGCACCUUCGUUCUUUCAGUGCUCAGACCAAAACCAGUUUAAGGUCUCCUUUGAUGUGUUUCCUUUACUCACACUCUACAGUAAAUAUAUCAGUAAAUCCUUCAUUGGCUCUACCUUCAAAAUAUAUCCACCACUUCCCCUGCUGCCACUGUUCCUAGCCACUGAAGUCUUGACCAUGACCUCCCAGGCUCCAUGUCAUCUGGCCCACUGCCACCUCCCUGGUCUCAUCUCCUGCCACUCUGCCUACUUUGCUCCUGCUGCACUGGCCUUCUUGCUGGUCCUCAGGCACCACAGCCCACUCUUGCCUCGAGGCCUUUGCCCUGCUGUCCUCUCACUUGGAAUUUUCUCCCCGGGCACUCACAAUGCUGGCUUUCUCAUUUUCUUGUGGUCCCUGCCCAGAUGUCACUUCCUCAGUGAGACCUCCAGACCACCCUAUUUAAGGUAAACCCUCCCACAUUCAAUACUCCCACACGCUAGAUCCCUCUUUGCGUUUUUUUUGUUGUUGUACUUAUCACGACUUGGC
Molecule: long non-coding RNA, 6769 nt
Filed under: Equus caballus (horse)
Lineage: Eukaryota; Metazoa; Chordata; Mammalia; Perissodactyla; Equidae
Description: lncRNA (ENSECAG00000038525.2)
Source: RNAcentral